This is a long non-coding RNA of Pelmatolapia mariae (spotted tilapia), 832 nucleotides long. RefSeq lists it as uncharacterized. The record is from RefSeq and is a predicted model, not a curated record. The transcript is spliced from 4 exons. Lineage: Eukaryota; Metazoa; Chordata; Actinopteri; Cichliformes; Cichlidae.
AGAUAAAAGUACCGGAAGUAGAUGCCACUGCUGAAGCCAUGUACUUGCAGCUUUUCUGGUUCUUGUCGGCUGGUGUCGGGCAGCGGAAGAAGCAAGUCAAGUAAACGGAUUCUAACCUCACAGUGUUUUCAGGAAAACCAUUUAAAGACAUGGAAAAGAUCCUGGUCAGUUUCUUACCUACAGUUUGGGAUUUGAGAGGUCUUCAGACUCUAGGUGACGUGAUGAUGCUGCUCAACUUCAUCUCCAGCUGUAUACAUGAUGGAGGCUGAGGAUUGUGUGGAUGACCAGGAGCUUCACUCUGAAUCCUGACCUCCUCCUGCUUCAGUGGUUGACUUGGUCAUCAUGGCAACCAUCUGGAUGACUGAGGUCCCUGAUUGGACUUUCUGAGGUGGUUCUUUGUGCCUCUGAUGGUGUGUUUGUGGUCACACUGCAGAAUCAAUCCAAGGUCUCUCUAAUGGUGCUGAACAUCAGGCUGUUAACUGCAGAGCAUUAGACCUUAUCUGUGGAUCCUCCCGACGGUUUCUCUCCUAACUCCUGGUUGGAGUUCAUGGAGGACUUCAGCUUCUUGCAGCUGCUCCUGCUGAUAGAUGUCAUUGCUGCCUUCUCCCUCUGCACUGGCUGCUACAUCUUCUUUGUUUCUGCUUUUCUCUUUGUCAUGACUGUGAAUCAGGCAGCUGUGCUGACAAUAUGAUUGUUCUCCUUAUAAUAAAAGCUGGAAGCUGAAAAUCCUGCCUGUGCUGAGACAUUUUUUCAUGAAUGAUCUUCACAGCGAAAACAAACACAGGACAAAGGAAACUGUGUGUGACGUCAUCUUUAGUUCAUAGAAAAAUAU